RNAcentral lists this transfer RNA (71 nucleotides) under Astrosyne radiata. Its description in RNAcentral is "tRNA-Gly". It matches the Rfam family "tRNA". Rfam says of the family: Transfer RNA (tRNA) molecules are approximately 80 nucleotides in length. Their secondary structure includes four short double-helical elements and three loops (D, anti-codon, and T loops). Lineage: Eukaryota; Bacillariophyta; Fragilariophyceae; Cyclophorales; Cyclophoraceae. The record is from RNAcentral.
GCGAGUAUAGUUUAAUGGUAAAACUUUAGCCUUCCAAGUUAAUAUUGGGAGUUCGAUUCUCCCUACUCGCU